RNAcentral lists this transfer RNA (71 nucleotides) under Bos taurus (domestic cattle). It matches the Rfam family "tRNA". Rfam says of the family: Transfer RNA (tRNA) molecules are approximately 80 nucleotides in length. Their secondary structure includes four short double-helical elements and three loops (D, anti-codon, and T loops). RNAcentral also lists the same sequence under 3 other names. The record is from Rfam by way of RNAcentral. Lineage: Eukaryota; Metazoa; Chordata; Mammalia; Artiodactyla; Bovidae.
UCCCUGGUGUCUGAGCGGUAAAGAAUCCGCCUGCAAUGCAGAAGACUCAGGUUUGAUCCCUGGGUAGGGAA